GACGAACGCUGGCGGCGUGCUUAACACAUGCAAGUCGAACGGAAAGGCCCUGCUUUUGUGGGGUGCUCGAGUGGCGAACGGGUGAGUAACACGUGAGUAACCUGCCCUUGACUUUGGGAUAACUUCAGGAAACUGGAGCUAAUACCGGAUAGGAGCUCCUGCUGCAUGGUGGGGGUUGGAAAGUUUCGGCGGUUGGGGAUGGACUCGCGGCUUAUCAGCUUGUUGGUGGGGUAGUGGCUUACCAAGGCUUUGACGGGUAGCCGGCCUGAGAGGGUGACCGGCCACAUUGGGACUGAGAUAGGGCCCAGACUCCUACGGGAGGCAGCAGUGGGGAAUAUUGCACAAUGGGCGGAAGCCUGAUGCAGCAACGCCGCGUGCGGGAUGACGGCCUUCGGGUUGUAAACCGCUUUCGCCUGUGACGAAGCGUGAGUGACGGUAAUGGGUAAAGAAGCACCGGCUAACUACGUG
This 468-nucleotide ribosomal RNA is filed under the name uncultured bacterium. RNAcentral's name for it is "partial 16S ribosomal RNA". It matches the Rfam family "Bacterial small subunit ribosomal RNA", at positions 28 to 507 of the family's 1533-position model. The record is from RNAcentral.